Molecule: ribosomal RNA, 253 nt
Filed under: uncultured bacterium
Lineage: Bacteria
Description: partial 16S ribosomal RNA
Rfam family: Bacterial small subunit ribosomal RNA
Source: RNAcentral
UACGUAGGGUGCGAGCGUUAAUCGGAAUUACUGGGCGUAAAGCGUGCGCAGGCGGUUUUGUAAGCCAGAUGUGAAAUCCCCGGGCUUAACCUGGGAAUGGCAUUUGGGACUGCAAGGCUGGAGUGCGGCAGAGGAGACUGGAAUUCCUGGUGUAGCAGUGAAAUGCGUAGAUAUCAGGAGGAACACCGGUGGCGAAGGCGGCGAUCUGGGUCGAUACUGACGCUGAGGUGCGAAAGCGUGGGGAGCAAACAGG